Molecule: ribosomal RNA, 401 nt
Filed under: uncultured bacterium
Lineage: Bacteria
Description: bacterial SSU rRNA
Rfam family: Bacterial small subunit ribosomal RNA
Source: RNAcentral
UUAGGAAUAUUCCACAAUGGGGGCAACCCUGAUGGAGCAACGCCGCGUGGAGGAUGAAGGCCCUAGGGUCGUAAACUUCUUUUCUAUGCGAAGAAUAUGACGGUAACAUAGGAAUAAGGGUCUGCUAACUACGUGCCAGCAGCCGCGGUCAUACGUAGGACCCAAGCGUUAUUCGGAUUGAUUGGGCGUAAAGAGUUGCGUAGGCGGUUUGUUAAGCGAAUAGUGAAAUCUUGUGGCUCAACCAUAAGGCUAUUAUUCGAACUGGCAAACUCGAGAAUGGAAGAGAUAUCUGGAAUUCCCAGUGUAGGAGUGAAAUCCGUAGAUAUUGGGAGGAACACCAAUGGCGUAGGCAGGAUAUUGGUCCAUUUCUGACGCUAAGGCACGAAAGCGUGGGGAGCGAA